ACCUUAGAAAGCUUUAGCAGUUUUGUUUCCUGUGUUUCUGUGAGUUGGGACUUUACAGUGAAUCAGUGACUACUGCUCAGCCAAAAAGUGCCUCCUAAUUUACUUGAAGCCUCAUACCACUGUGGUAAUUAACUGGCCUUUAGUGUAAUAUAUUUCAUCUCAUGUUGAUGUUAUAUGUUGUUUGGUUUGUGGAUUUUAUAGCUGUUAGUUUAAAAAGAAAAAGUAAUUUAUUUUUUUAUUAUUUUCAUAAAAUACUUCUAAAGUUUUCAUCCCAAAGAUGCCUUUGAAAAUAUUUUUGUGUUGUUAUAACACAUAAGCUUGGAAAACGUAACCCAAUUAAUUGUUUUAAACCAAAGUCAACUUACACACAGAGAUCAAUCCACAUUAGGGACUAGUCAGGUUUUUAAGAUUGGUGUUUUUUUUCAAAUCAGGAAUUGCACAAACACAGCCUGGGUGUUCAUUCUCCCAGGUUCCUGCAGGGCUCUCAGAAUGACCUCCUGGCCAAAUCCCUCCCUGCUCUGGGAGCCCAGGGCUGCUGUGCAGUCAGAUUUUGUGGUGUGUUCCUCCGUUUGCAGUGCAGAUUUUGUGGUGUGUUCCUCCGUUUGCAGUGCAGAUUUUGUGGUGUGUUCCUCCGUUUGCAGUCAGGUUUUGUGGUGUGUUCCUCAGUUUGCAGUGCAGAUUUUGUGGUGUGUUCCUCCGUUUGCAGUCAGAUUUUGUGGUGUGUUCCUCCGUUUGCAGUGCAGAUUUUGUGGUGUGUUCCUCCGUUUGCAGUCAGGUUUUGUGGUGUGUUCCUCCGUUUGCAGAGCCCUGCAAUCCCCCUGCCCUGCCGGCAUUGUUGGUUCCUCUCUCGCAAUGGUUCCUGAGUAGCUGUCAGUGUCUCUCUGCGUGCAGUGGGAGGACACUGCCCUGAACAGUUCAUUUCCUGCUUCUGCACUGGAAAAGUAUUUACAGCAGCACAUUCUUGCCUUUUUAUUGGUACAAUGAACAGAUAUCCACCUGUUCCUUUAGCACUUUCCUGUCACACACAAGGUAUUUGCAAAGAACGCUGAAUCUAAGUAAAGAUUGUAAUUCUGUAAGCUCAGGAUGAUUUAAAGCCACAUUGUUUCAGUACUAAAGCAUGUUGCAAAACUCUCUAACUUCACCAGAAUCGGUGAAGCAAGGAAUAAAAAUGUUGGGAGUUGCUGAAGAACAGAAAAGGUUCUGUGUGUUUCUCCUUUUUUUCUCUACAAUGUGCAUGAACACUUCAAAAGGUUCAAGAGAGAACUGUAUAUGGAUCUCUUAGAGCUCAUCCCUCAUGAAAACAUUAACAUAAAAUGUGUUUGUGGAAAAGGAAGACAGUCCCUUUUUCUCUGUCACAUCACAAAUCUAAAACCCUCCAAGGCUCAGGGUAUUCCAGAUUCUCCAGCUCCAUGGACUGAGCUCCGGCCUGGUGAGAGGCAGACCCUGAAAAAGCCAAAAUGCUGAAAAAACAGCAGAUGGAAAGAAAAGAAAGGAAAUUUUAGAAAUAGUGACCUGGAUAAAACUACACACAGAAAGCAGCUGCCAAAAGAGGUGGAAAUCUCCUUCCAUCAAUGUAAAGGGGGGAAACUGGGAUUACUACAGGAAUUUCUCUGGAACUCAGUGGUGCCCUGUGUGCUCUGUAACCUGUACAGAAAUGGGGACUAACAGAUACCACAGCACAUCUCACACAGCCUGUGGUAAUAAACUCUUCUGUCUGGACAAGGUGAGUUCUGGGGUGAUGAAAUAAAUCCUGUUUCCAACAUUGACAGAAACAGGCUGCACACUUACAAGUUUCAGCAAAGUGUUCCUGUGAGUAAAACAGAUGAGUGCAUAUUCCAAAGAGCACAGGUGGGUUUACUUUGUGUAAAGAUUGCUUUAAUUUGUAUAAUUCAGACCACCUGGCACUCAGCAGGUCUUAACUAAAACUUCUCCUUGCAUUGUGUUGGUUUUUAUGCAAAGCUCAGAAUUCAGUUCUGGGAUCAUGGUAAACAUGCCUUGCAGUUUAACAGCCAGCAGGUGAUUGAUUUAUUUAUUGCUUUAUUUAUUGAUCUGUUCCUGAAGCAGAAGCAGCACCUGGUGUACAGGUAAGAAUCUCAGAAUCUGAUUUUCUAUAGGAUUUGGGAUUGGUGUCUUGUUUUAUGGAAUUGUAUCUGGGAAAAUGCUUUCUGCUAGUUUAACAGCUAACCUUCUGCCCAUAGAUGUAGAAGAACAAUAUUCAGUGAACUUAAUCUAUAAAAAAUACAGUUAUUUUUUUGCAGGUACAAAGUACAUAGCGAAAGGUCAGAUCACCACAGCAAAUGAAAAAUGGUUGUAGUGUGUGUAGAUCUCUCGUAUCCAAACUAUUUCAGUCUUGGAGAAUUCCAGGGAGAGUUCCCAGAAAUGGGAAAUCAUUUCUGGGAAUCACAUGCACUUAUAAUAAGCCAUUAAAAGGGAAAGUUGGGUUUUUUGCCCACACAGAAGCUCCAGUUUAAUGUGCAGAAGAUGAGAAAAUGCAGGUCAGUCCCUCCCAGGAGCAGAUGUUACUCAUUGAGCGAUGCCUUCACUGUUUCCAUUUCUCACCAAUUCCCUCCAGCACACCCUGCCAGGGCAGUCACAGUAAAAAUGAGUCCAUAAAGAGAAUUCAGUGACAAAUCCAGCAGCAGCAGCACCCUGAGGAGGCAGCUCCAGAGCCUGACAACUCCCCUUUGGCACCUGAGGCUGUUACUGAAGCAGCAGACAGUGCACACCAAGAAAUUCAAUAUUUGGCUCCUGUGGAUCACCAACUCCCAAGCAAAGAGAAAGGGGUGUUGCUUUGUUAAAUCCACAGCACUUCAAUCAAGUCCAGGAUGUAAACAUUCCCCUGGGGAGGUGCAGCAUUGUUCACACUCAAUUGCAAGCACUGGGAGGGUUGUCUGCACGUCUCCAACACUGAGCUUUUGGGGUUUCAUUCUUCAUCUCCCACACAGCUCUGCUGGAGAGUUCGCUGAGUGGAACAGUUGGAAGUGCAUUGCUGGAGCUGAUGGACAUUUGGAGGGUAAGAGGAAGUUAGUUCAGCACCAUUUGUUUAAUUAAGAGUACAUUAGGUCAUAUCUUGGUAAAAGUAGACCAUACAUCACUGUAGGAUAGAAUACAUCAUUUCCUAAAAUUGAUUUUGUUUCUGAUCAUAUCCCACAAGGUACAUGCAUAAAAUAACAACAAAAGGUAUUAAUUGCCAAAUGUUUACUUUAAUUAAACCUUUUUUAACGAUACACAGUACAAUGUAUCCACUACUUUGCUAAAAUUCACAACAAAAGCAGGUUUCAUGUUUAAAAAUACUUCUCAUAAUAAAUUCAUAAAUAGAUGAAGGUAAAGUAUAAAAAAUUACUGUAGUACGCAAGCUUGCUCCCUUGUCUCCUCAAAUUCCAAAUCAUUUAGUCAGUAUUGAGAUAAGAAAGUUUAAAAGCAAAACAGUUACUGAUGAUUAGAAAUGUACAGCCUGCAUCUCUCGAAGAAACCUUGAAAAGCAACAGAUUUGUCCCAGAAAAUGCAGAACCAUUUUAACACUGUUAUCACCCAAACCCCUCAAAUAAUUUUGGAAUGCAGUGAAUGAAUUCAAUAUGAAUUAGAGAUUUUUUCCUUCCCCCCCAGAGGUGUGUGUGAGCCAGACUGGCUGGGCUGCUCCCUGCUCUGCACUCGUGGGAUUUCACCUGGCAGAUCUCAGCGAGUGAGGCACAGGAGAGGGAAAAUCUGCCCGACAGCACAGAGCACAUCUGCCCAGCAGAAAUCUGAAACAGAAAUCUUUACAAACAGUUACAAAGAACUAAAUUCACCUUCUGCUCAGUACCAGCCUGUAUUUGCUGGCAAGCAGGACAGGGUCUGGUGUCCCCCACUGGCUUCCCCUGUUUUGGGAAUGGUUUUUGUGUCUCACAUCAUUCCAACACAACCCUGUGGGGAAUCCCUGACACUGCACCACCAAACCCCAUCAGCAAAGUUAUUCUCCUCAUCAAUAUUAUCACUCUCCUAAGAAAGCAUUUAUUUUGUCAAGUAUCAAACUACUUUUCACACUUUAUCUAUUUUAAUAUCAUUUAUAAAGGGAAAAAAAUCUUACUUAUGCACAGCAUUGAACUAGGAAAUGAACAUGAAAAAUGCAGAAUAAUCAAGAUGCUCUGCCUUUCACAUUAAUGAUUUUUUUUCUCUGAUAAUUAUUUCCCUUUAGUGCAAAACCACUUCCACACAAGAUUUGUGCUUUAUUUGCAAAGGUACCGAGAUGCUUUUGAAGACGUUGGGAGGCCUCUGCCUGCAGCUUUCUGGCUGUGUGAAUUCUGCUCAUUUAAAGGUCGGGACCUUUUCAGCUCCUGGCUCACUUUUAAAAAAUGUCUUCAAGUUUCCAGGACAAGUUUGCAUGCCAUGUUCAAAGGACAAUCCCCCAACCCUUGUUUUCACAUAUGACAGCCCAGGCACCCAAAAGGAGCAAAAGUUCCCCUUUUGGUGAAGUUCUUGGAAAUGUAUCAGCAAUAGCUAACAGGAGAGCUAUCAGUGGUUUUAGUUUGGCUUCAUUUGAAUUUUUCCCCCUGAAAAACCUGCUUGCCAGUACAGUGAGAGCAAGAAAAUCAUCAGGACUUCUCCUCUGUUCUUCAGUAUUCUCAUAUUUCUCAAAUUUUGCUUUGCAAAGCAAACAUUAGCAGGUUUCUGGGCUGACAUUUGGUUUCAUAUUGAUGUAAUUAUAAAUAUUUGUACAAGUUCCAUCCAUGAUGAUGGACUGGAUGAGAAACUGGAGAUAAAAUUAGCUUAAAAUCAAUACAAAGGGUAACAAAGGCUCCUGGGAACCACAUUCUGCUGAUGAUUUCAUUUCAGUAUCUGCCUCUGCAUUCCACUCCCAAGUGCUACAAGGCAGAGAUCAAUGUCCCCCUCCUGUGCUUCUGUAAUAUUUUUGCACACUUUGGUCCUGCCAAAAAGAAAUGAUAAAUACUAAUGCAAAUACAUGAUCAGCCAAGGGGAUCUGCUUAAAAGCAAUUGCUGCACCAUAGCCUUGUUAAUGUUCAACUGGCAGUAAACAGAUUUCCUGGCAAAUGUUGGUGCUGUGAACUCUGAGCAAGCACUACUGAAUUAUUCACUUGAUGUACAUCAGUGCCCAUUUGUACCCUCAGAGGUGAAACUCAGCUUUUUACCCAUAAAUCUCAGGUUUAUUGCUCCUCACCCUCUCCACCCAGGUACCCUUUUGGCUUCAAUAGGAUUAAUGGAGUUAAACCAACCUAAUUCCUGAAUUCCAUGGCUGGGUGAGAGUCCCAGGUUUGAUAAAACCUUCAGCACAGCACUGAAAAUCUCCACAUUUUCUGUUUAUUUCUGAUCAAGGAGCUCCCAGCCUGGUGGGCAGUGAACAAAGGAAGGGUUUGGUAAUGAAAAUAAACUUUAACUACUGACAGCCCAAGCACCACCAGCGGCUAAUCUAAAAAAGAAACCAGGUUUUUGGGUUUCUUCUGAAAAAAAAAAAAUUAAAAAUAAACCAAGUCUUCUUUCUUUAAAAAUUAAAAAUAAACUAAGUCUUCUUCUAUUUCUUUUGUUCAGUUAGGAGGGCAUGCAAACUUGUACUCCACUUGUUACAAGACAGAAGAGCCAACAGUUAAAAGACAAAACUGAUUUAAAGCCAUGGUUUUAGUUUUCUGCAGGAAACUGAAAACGAAUUAGAAUUGGUGCCUUCAUUUGAAGUACAGCAAACAAAUCUCUGCUGCUGUAUUGCACAUUUUCUGACUGAACCAGACUGACCUGCAGGCAGAGCCUCACCCUUCAAGCCCAGUUUAAGAGAUAAAUCCAGGCAAAUUGUAAUGAAAAUGGUAGUGCCUGGUGUAAUUCUACUUAUUCACUAAACAAACCUCAAAAUUAAGAAAAUGGAUCACUAAUUCCUCAGUUCUUCAUCUACUGUAAAAACACAAUCACUCACUGGCUGCACUGGAAGCAGGAUUUAUGUUCAUUUGCUUCUUGUUCCAGUUUUAGGAUGAGUUGCUAUGUAAACUAUGGAUUUCAUUCUGAGAAGUAGCAAUACUGCUCUCAAAUGCAAGUGGGUUUUUCCCAGCAGUGAAUAAUUUGGCACUGAUGCUGCAGGAAGUGGGCUGAGCUCAUCUGGGGGUCCCAGCUCCAGCAGGACCACGACCUGCAGGCACAAACUGCAAUGGGUCAUGACAGAAAAUCAAAUAUCUGCAAAUAUUCUGUGCCUGAAGGGCCUCACAGCAGCAAAGGCAGCCACCAGCACUCAGUCUGAGCUUGGACUGACUUCACAGUUUCUGCUGAGAGCAGAACAUAGGGAAUUCACCAACAGCUCCAGGGUUUGGAAAAUUCCCAUUCCCAAUUUCAAACUCCCAACUGCCUAACUGGGCAUUUAUUGCCUACUGUCUUUGGAAGCAGGAAUAUCCUGGAAAACCAUCCAAAAGCACUACCAAGUACUGCAGCUCAGCCUGCCCUUCUGCAGAAAAUACCAGAAUUGUGAAAACUACACUAGUUGAAAAAUUUAAGGCCUUUUCAUUCUCACAGCUAUAAAAUUUAAAAACUAACCCCUUAGACAGAAGCAAACAGGCUACAAAGCACACAUCACUCCUCAGUUAUCUACCUCACAGUUUAAAAAA
Non-coding RNA from Zonotrichia albicollis (white-throated sparrow), 6575 nucleotides. NCBI's taxonomy places the organism in Eukaryota, Metazoa, Chordata, Aves, Passeriformes, Passerellidae. The record is from RefSeq and is a predicted model, not a curated record.